Molecule: long non-coding RNA, 4305 nt
Organism: Spinacia oleracea (spinach)
Lineage: Eukaryota; Viridiplantae; Streptophyta; Magnoliopsida; Caryophyllales; Amaranthaceae
Exons: 3
Source: RefSeq, a predicted model, not a curated record
CCUAGCUUAUAAUGAGAACCUCUCACAACCGUUAGAUUAUGACGAAACAGACGGCUGAGAUCAUUUCAUGCAUUAAUGAUGCGCGUUAACUUCUCUCUCUUGAUUGAGCUGACAACUUCUCUCUCUUCAACUAACACACUCCCUCACCCACUCACGUUAAUUUCUCUCUCCUCACUUGAAUUCACACACCCUCAUCUCUCUCCUCAACAAAUUUUCUUCAAAAUCACUUGCAAAAACGGAAAUUACAUCGUAAUUUCGCGAAGAUUGCUGAGAUUUAGAGAAUUUGCAGCUUGAAAAUUGCAUUUUCUGGUGCCGAAGCUUUGAUUUUUCUGGCGAAUGAACUACUGAGGAAAAAUGUCGAAAAAUGAGACAAAUCCAAAACAAGGUAAUGUAGCCUAAUUUUUGUUUACUUUUGAUAAUAUUAAGUUUACCAUUAAAGUAAUGCUUUGUUUACUUUUGAAAACUGAGAUGAUCUAAUUUUUCUAGUUUUAUGUUUUCUGCUGUUAUGCUUCUUUGCUGAGAAAAUUGCUUCUAUGGAGCUAUAAGCUAUCACUUAUUUUUUUAUGGUACAUUAUUACUUUUUAUAUACCUUAAUUGAUGAUAUUGCCGAGAAUAAUUGAUUCUAGAUUUUGGGUUUAAUAUUUUUAGCCAUGAAUAGUUGGUUGAACACUAGAGGAAAAAUCCUUAUAAGUUGCUCAACAAAAGUUACCCUUAUCAAACAAGUGCAACCUUUAAGGAAAAAAAAUUAAAAAAAAAAAAAUUAAUUAAAAUCUGAAAAUAUGCCACCCAUACAAGCGCAGCCUUAACCUAAGAACUAAAAAAAAAAACAAUGCUCUCUCCUCCCUGUCACAGCUCCUGCAAAACGUCCUCCUUCUCAGGUGACCGGCGAAGCCACCGGCGAAACCACACUCACACACUCGCACCCUCUCUCCUCCUUCUCAGGCGACAACAGAGGUGUUCUUCCCCACUCAAUUCGAAGAAAACAAUUGCUGAAGGCCGCCGAAUUUGCACUACCAAAGCUUGCGAAAAUCCUACUUGCGAUGAAAUUGGUGAUUGCUGCAAAUUUCUCAAUCUUCCUUACCAUAAAGAGGUUCGAUUUUAUUUGUAAUUUUGAUCGUCGUCUUCAAUUUUGCUUUUUAAUUUCGUCUGAAUUUUAUUGGAUUCAUUUUGUUAAUUUCGUUUGAAUAUUUUUCUGUUUUCUGCGAAUAUUUUGUGAUUAUGUGCGCCAAGCUAUAUAGAUUUCUCAUGAUUAUUUUUGGUUAUGUAAUGAACAAUAAUUUGAGGAUUGAUGCAACUGAACUAGGGAUAUUUUAAAUAAAAGAUGAAAAUAUCGAUAGAAUCAACUGGUCACAAUUCAACUUGGAAAUAAUUGAUUACCUGUUUGGCGGUGUUACAUUGAGAAAAUUGUCUAAAUGUUUGUCUUGUUCACUGUAUAGGCAUAUAUAUAGCUUUGAAAGGAUGCAAUUUUCUUUUUCUUAUACGGUAACACCUUAUCAUCAUUGUUUGCUGUGUGCAAAUUGGUAAUUUAUGGAAUUGGAAAACUUAGAAUUUAUGCUCAUUGUUCAGCACACUCCAGACAGUCUUUAACCCCGACGUUUCAUGUAUGAAAGGAACCAUCAGUAUGUAUGUCCGUGGUACAUUAUGGUGUGUACUCGUGUUAUUAGCUACAUUUGAACCAUCAUUUGUAUGUCCGUGGUACAGUCUUUAACCCCGGCGUUUCUUAUUCUCUUGCCUGGUUUUGGUGUUUUCAAUUAAUGGUUGGUUUAAGUUAGUAUUGAAUACUAAGCAUUGGCAGGGUCGUGUAUAGAUACUAUCAUUAAAGGCUCAUGUAUAGAGACUAUCAUUAAAGUGGUCAAUUUGCUAGGCAUUUCAGGAAUCUUGUUCUCUGUUUUUGUUAUUAUUAGCAUGUAGUAGACUAGCAGUUCCUUACUCCGUAAUAUUCACAGCAUUUGUAUUUAAGUAGCUUCCUUAUUAUAUUUGCUUGUUUUCUUCAUAAUCUUAUUAGUUUUCCCGUGUUUGCUUGUAGUUAUUAAGUUGUCUCGGUUGUUAUGUUAGUCUUUAAUGGUUAGUUCUAUAUGUUUUAUUCUCUCUUAGUUUCACAUGAGUAUUUCUUUUUAUGUUUAGCUUAGUUACUCUUUAUUUAAAUUUCUUUUCCAAUGGUAUGACUUUUAUUUUAGUGGUUGGUUCAUGCAUAGGCUUAAUUAUGCCUCUUUAAAUUAGUGUAAUUGUUUUCUUAGGAUUUGUUAGUAGUUCAUACCUGUUGCCGUCAGUAGGUCGGUCUUUCAUUUGCUACUUCAUAUCUAUAAUAAUUGCUAGUAUUAAAUCGCUUCUUAGAGUUGGUAAAUUUAUCAUGUUUAGUCUGUAUCUUCUAUUUUAUGGGCCUUUGAGUUAGCUUUAUGACACUUAGUGGAAUCAGAGCAAUCACAACCUUAUAAUUUUGCUUUAACAGUAGAUCAGAAAGGUUGUUUUUAUUGUGUAAUGUGUUAGGUUUACUGACAGUGUGUUAUAUUGUUUGGGGAAUCUUAUAAGUAACGAUGAUAAACAAGUAUGACGCUAGAUGUUCAUUUAAGAAAUUUAUUGUCGGGAGUUUAUAAUUAGCCUAGCUCAUACCUGAUUUUGAUUGUCAUGUUCGUACUUGCAUACCUCAAUAUAAUUAUUGCAUGUUCGUAGCUCUUGUGGGUUUUAUGGUUAUAUUACUGAAGGGAAACUAACUAUUACAUUCGGGAACUCGAGAGAAAGCAUCCAACCUAAUUGUUCACUACUCAUUGCUUAAAACCAGCAAAAUUCUUAUGUUCUUUGGUUAAAAUAGCUUCUGCAUAGUCAUGUCCUAUAAUUUGUAAAUUGCUAGCUGUUAGUUCAUAAUAAUCUCUUGGUGUGGCUGCUGGGAUUUUCAGAGUUUAUAAUUUUAGACUUUAGAACUUUAACUAGUUUUCUGUAGCUUAGAUUGAAGGAGUUCUAGUUUUAGGUGACUGAUAUUAUAGUGGCUAAUAGUAUACAUAUAUUGAUUAUGGUGUUUUGUGAAGGAUUUGUUUCUUAAUAUAUUAAUCUUUGCCCACUAUAUUCUUCCUCCUGCAGUAAGAUAAUUAAAAAGCUUUACUACUACUUUUUGGCCUACUUUUUUUUAUUUUUUUAUUUAUUUGUUCAAAUGUAAAUAAAAACUCUAAAGCUGAUCUAUAUGGGUUUGAUUGUUAAGGUCCUUGGUACUCCUAAUGCUUUGUUGCUAUCCCAGAUAGUAUAAAAAGGGUACUUGGUUGAACUAGAAUAUUGCAGAUCACGUUGAUAUCAAGCAUGGUAGAUCUGAAAUAUAUUGUCUAAAUGUGUUCUUAUCCGUUAAAGCUUUCGGGAUCAUGAUUUAUUCUUCUCACUUAAUCUGGACAGUAAACUCUCAUUUUAUGAAAAUACAUUCUAGCACCUGUCUCGUCGAGGUAUUAUUAUGUUAGGACCUAAAAGAAAUUUAUCAGUUAAAUUUAGGUCUGAUCUGACCGUGUUUAAAGAAUUAGAGAAGACUUAUCCAUGUUUGUUUUUCCGUGUAUGAACCUUUUUACCUCAAUUUAUUAAUUUAUAUAAUCAGACAUUUAUAAUUAGAUUUCAUGAACUAAAAUUAUAUUAUGUCUUGAGCAUUUUAUGGUUCAUCUAGCUUAAAUUAGGAUUCUCUUUGAAAUUUUGAAUAAUCUGGAAAGUUGCUUAGUUGGGCUUGAACUAUAAGUUUGUUUAACAUGUUCAUUGUUUCUUUUCGAAUCAGAUUAUGUAGUCAUAUGGUCAUAGUGUAGUUAUCCCAAAAGUUUCCCUAGUUUCUCUACACAUUACAUUUGAUAAUCUAAUCAGAUAGAUAGUUAUUUAUAUGUACUUCAGCUACAGAUAUUUAUGUCUUUAGUUUUGCAUGAGCACUGACCCUCAACUUGAGCGUAUAAGAUUGUACGUAGAUUUUCUAAACAACGCAAGGCUGGAGCAACUGCUUGAAAUAUUUCAAAACGAAUAUGAACUAGAAGAAGAAGAUCCACUUCUAGGAGAAGUCUGGGCCUCAUGAAUGGUACUCUGUCCAAUAUAGCAAAUUUUUAUCUCCAAUGCAAUGUGUUUUUUGUUGCUAUUUAAUGCACUUGUAAAACUAUUUUGGUUUGUUGAAAGAACACAAUGUUCAAUUCAUGGCUUUCAGCUCUGACAAAUGCUGAUAGUAUAUUUUUGUUAGGGGACUCAGGUCCUCCUUUUGUAUAUGGGAGUUACACCAUGUGUAUGUGAAUGAUAUUUUUGUGAGGGGCAGUGCUUGUCGUGAGAAUUUUUUGUGGUAGUUGCUACCUUUUUUGUCAA